This 918-nucleotide ribosomal RNA is filed under the name uncultured bacterium. Its description in RNAcentral is "bacterial SSU rRNA". It matches the Rfam family "Bacterial small subunit ribosomal RNA", at positions 33 to 942 of the family's 1533-position model. The record is from RNAcentral.
ACGCUGGCGGCAGGCUUAACACAUGCAAGUCGAACGGUAACAGGAAUUAGCUUGCUAAUUUGCUGAUGAGUGGCGGACGGGUGAGUAAUGCUUGGGAAUCUGGCUUAUGGAGGGGGAUAACUACGGGAAACUGUAGCUAAUACCGCGUAAAAUCUUCGGAUUAAAGGGUGGGACUUUCGAGCCACCUGCCAUAAGAUGAGCCCAAGUGGGAUUAGGUAGUUGGUUAGGUAAAGGCUGACCAAGCCGACGAUCUCUAGCUGGUCUGAGAGGAUGACCAGCCACACUGGAACUGAGACACGGUCCAGACUCCUACGGGAGGCAGCAGUGGGGAAUAUUGCACAAUGGGGGGAACCCUGAUGCAGCCAUGCCGCGUGAAUGAAGAAGGCCUUCGGGUUGUAAAGUUCUUUCGGUGACGAGGAAGGUUGAUAGGUUAAUAGCCUAUCAAAUUGACGUUAAUCACAGAAGAAGCACCGGCUAACUCCGUGCCAGCAGCCGCGGUAAUACGGGGGGUGCGAGCGUUAAUCGGAAUAACUGGGCGUAAAGGGCACGCAGGCGGUGACUUAAGUGAGAUGUGAAAGCCCCGAGCUUAACUUGGGAAUUGCAUUUCAUACUGGGUCGCUAGAGUACUUUAGGGAGGGGUAGAAUUCCACGUGUAGCGGUGAAAUGCGUAGAGAUGUGGAGGAAUACCGAAGGCGAAGGCAGCCCCUUGGGAAUGUACUGACGCUCAUGUGCGAAAGCGUGGGGAGCAAACAGGAUUAGAUACCCUGGUAGUCCACGCUGUAAACGAUGUCGAUUUGGGGAUUGGGCUUUGAGCUUGGUGCCCGUAGCUAACGUGAUAAAUCGACCGCCUGGGGAGUACGGCCGCAAGGUUAAAACUCAAAUGAAUUGACGGGGGCCCGCACAAGCGGUGGAGCAUGU